AUCUAUGGCCACACCACCCUGAAUGCACCUGAUCUUGUCAGAUCUUGGAAGCUAAGCAGGGUCAGACCUGGUUAGUACUUGGGUGGGAGACUGCCUGGGAAUACCAGGUGCUAUAGGCU
Molecule: ribosomal RNA, 119 nt
Filed under: Aotus nancymaae (Ma's night monkey)
Lineage: Eukaryota; Metazoa; Chordata; Mammalia; Primates; Aotidae
Source: RNAcentral